This 117-nucleotide ribosomal RNA is filed under the name Actinomycetota bacterium. Lineage: Bacteria; Bacillati; Actinomycetota. The record is from RNAcentral.
UUCGGUGGCCAUGGCGGAGGGGUCACACCCGUUCCCAUCCCGAACACGGAAGUUAAGCCCUCCAGCGCCGAUGGUACUUGGCAGGAGACUGCCUGGGAGAGUAGGACGCCGCCGGAU